This 495-nucleotide ribosomal RNA is filed under the name uncultured bacterium. RNAcentral describes it as "bacterial SSU rRNA". It matches the Rfam family "Bacterial small subunit ribosomal RNA", at positions 8 to 518 of the family's 1533-position model. The record is from RNAcentral.
AGGGUUCGAUUCUGGCUCAGGAUGAACGCUGGCGGCGUGCUUAACACAUGCAAGUCGAACGAUUGACCCAUCUUCGGAUGGUUAUAGAGUGGCGAACGGGUGAGUAACACGUGACCAACCUACCUUCUACUUUGGGAUAACUCAAAGAAAUUUGUGCUAAUACCGAAUACUCCGUAAUUUCCGCAUGGUUGUUACGGGAAAGUUCCGGCGGUAGAAGAUGGGGUCACGGCCUAUUAGAUAGUUGGUGGGGUAACGGCCUACCAAGUCGAUGAUAGGUAGCCGGGUUGAGAGACUGAUCGGCCACAUUGGGACUGAGAUACGGCCCAAACUCCUACGGGAGGCAGCAGUGGGGAAUUUUGCGCAAUGGGCGAAAGCCUGAACCGCAGCAACGCCGCGUGCGGGAUGACGGCCUUCGGGUUGUAAACCGCUUUCAGCAGGGAAGAUAAUGACAGUACCUGCACAAGAAGCUCCGGCUAACUACGUGCCAGCCGCCGC